This 237-nucleotide long non-coding RNA is filed under the name Elaeis guineensis (African oil palm). RNAcentral describes it as "long non-coding RNA (EGUI_LNC024127)". The record is from RNAcentral. Lineage: Eukaryota; Viridiplantae; Streptophyta; Magnoliopsida; Arecales; Arecaceae.
CUGUGAUGGAUUCCGCACGGCUCCAUCACUCCCUGACAGACCACAAUGAUGGCCACGAUCCUGCUCUACUUCCUGCGACAGAUACCGCACAGAUCCUUCAUUCUCUGGCGAGUCGCGACAACGGACGCCGCUCCACUCCCCGUAACAGACUCCACGUGGCAUGUCCCGGUGAUAGCCACGAUUCCACUCCACUACUCUUCGCAACAAACUCCUCCUGACCCCGGGCAGCCCACUGCC